Molecule: ribosomal RNA, 383 nt
Filed under: uncultured Glomus
Lineage: Eukaryota; Fungi; Glomeromycota; Glomeromycetes; Glomerales; Glomeraceae
Description: SSU rRNA
Rfam family: Eukaryotic small subunit ribosomal RNA
Source: RNAcentral
AGCAGCCGCGGUAAUUCCAGCUCCAAUAGCGUAUAUUAAAGUUGUUGCAGUUAAAAGCUCGUAGUUGAAUUUCGGGAUCAAUACGUCGGUCGUGCUUCGGUACGUACUGGCGUAAUUGAUUUCUCCCUUCUGACGAACCAUGAUGUCAUUAACUUGGUGUCAUGGGAAAUCAGGACUGUUAACUUUGAAAAAUUAGAGUGUUUAAAGCAGGCUCACGCUUGAAUACAUUAGCAUGGAAUAAUGAAAUAGGACGUUCGAUCCUAUUUUGUUGGUUUUUUAGGAUCAACGUAAUGAUUAAUAGGGAUAGUUGGGGCAUUAGUAUUCAAUUGUCAGAGGUUGAAAUUCUUGGGAUUUUUAUUGAAGACUGACUACUGCGUAAAGCA